RNAcentral lists this ribosomal RNA (253 nucleotides) under uncultured prokaryote. Its description in RNAcentral is "partial 16S ribosomal RNA". It matches the Rfam family "Bacterial small subunit ribosomal RNA", at positions 524 to 776 of the family's 1533-position model. The record is from RNAcentral.
UACAGAGGUCCCAAGCGUUGUUCGGAUUCACUGGGCGUAAAGGGUGCGUAGGUGGCCGGGUAAGUUUGAUGUGAAAGCUCGGAGCUUAACUCCGAAAUGGCAUUGAAUACUAUCCGGCUGGAGGGUCGGAGGGGAGACUGGAAUUCUCGGUGUAGCAGUGAAAUGCGUAGAGAUGUGGAGGAACACCGAUGGCGAAGGCAGCCCCCUGGGUCAAAACUGACGCUCAUGCACGAAAGCGUGGGGAGCAAACGGG